RNAcentral lists this ribosomal RNA (421 nucleotides) under uncultured bacterium. RNAcentral describes it as "bacterial SSU rRNA". It matches the Rfam family "Bacterial small subunit ribosomal RNA", at positions 356 to 774 of the family's 1533-position model. The record is from RNAcentral.
AAGGAAUAUUGGUCAAUGGACGCAAGUCUGAACCAGCCAUGCCGCGUGGAGGAUGAAGGUCCUCUGGAUUGUAAACUUCUUUUAUCUGGGACGAAACACUUCUUUUCUAAGAGGCCUGACGGUACCAGAUGAAUAAGCACCGGCUAACUCCGUGCCAGCAGCCGCGGUAAUACGGAGGGUGCAAGCGUUAUCCGGAUUCACUGGGUUUAAAGGGUGCGUAGGUGGGUAUGUAAGUCAGUGGUGAAAUCCCCGAGCUUAACUUGGGAACUGCCAUUGAUACUAUAUAUCUUGAAUACCGUAGAGGUAAGCGGAAUAUGUCAUGUAGCGGUGAAAUGCUUAGAUAUGACAUGGAACACCAAUUGCGAAGGCAGCUUACUAUGCGGUGAUUGACACUGAGGCACGAAAGCGUGGGUAGCAAACA